UUUAUCCACUAGGGGGGCCUAUUAUAGGCUGAGAUCAAAUUGGAAUUUGAGACUCUUAGUACCUGAUCUGGUUAAUGCCAGCGUAGGGAAGUGGGAAAGACAUUGC
This is a regulatory RNA element of Bacillus anthracis str. 'Ames Ancestor', 106 nucleotides long. It matches the Rfam family "TPP riboswitch aptamer (THI element)". From Rfam's summary of the family: Vitamin B(1) in its active form thiamin pyrophosphate (TPP) is an essential coenzyme that is synthesised by coupling of pyrimidine and thiazole moieties in bacteria. The previously detected thiamin-regulatory element, thi box was extended, resulting in a new, highly conserved RNA secondary structure, the THI element, which is widely distributed in eubacteria and also occurs in some archaea. Analysis of operon structures identified a large number of new candidate thiamin-regulated genes, mostly transporters, in various prokaryotic organisms. The record is from Rfam. NCBI's taxonomy places the organism in Bacteria, Bacillati, Bacillota, Bacilli, Caryophanales, Bacillaceae.